AGCGGGGAUGGUAGCUGAAGGUGAUGAGCUGGAAUGUGCCAUCUUAGCGGCGGACGGGUGAUUAACACGUGAGCAACCUACCCUCCCACGGGGAUAACAGCUCGAAAGGGCUGCUAAUACCCGAUGGGACCACGUCACUGCAUGGUGAUGUGGUGAAAGGGUGGACGUAAGGUCCAUGCCGGCUGGGGAUGGGCUCGCGGCCCAUCAGCUAGUUGGUGGGGUAACGGCCUACCAAGGCGACGACGGGUAGCCGGCCUGAGAGGGUGACCGGCCACAGUGGGACUGAGACACGGCCCACACUCCUACGGGAGGCAGCAGCGGGGAAUCUUGCGCAAUGGGGCGAAAGCCUGACGCAGCGACGCCGCGUGAGGGAAGGAGCCCUUCGGGGUGUAAACCUCUUUGGACGGGGAGAAGUAGGAGAUAGUACCCGUUUAAAAAGCCACGGCUAACUACGUGCCAGCAGCCGCGGUAAUACGUAGGUGGCGAGCGUUGUCCGGAAUUACUGGGCGUAAGGGUGCGUAGGCGGCCUGGUAAGUUGAGCGUGAAAUUUUUGGGGCUCAACCCAAAAGGAGCGUUCAAGACUGCCAGGCUUGAGUGCGGGAGAGGACGGCGGAAUUUCCCGGUGUAGCGGUGAAAUGCGUAGAUUAUCGGGAGGAACACCAGUGGCGAAAGGGGCCGUCUGGACCGUAACUGACGCUGAGGCACGAAAGCGUGGGGAGCA
This 721-nucleotide ribosomal RNA is filed under the name uncultured bacterium. RNAcentral describes it as "bacterial SSU rRNA". It matches the Rfam family "Bacterial small subunit ribosomal RNA", at positions 48 to 770 of the family's 1533-position model. The record is from RNAcentral.